This 388-nucleotide ribosomal RNA is filed under the name uncultured bacterium. Its description in RNAcentral is "bacterial SSU rRNA". It matches the Rfam family "Bacterial small subunit ribosomal RNA", at positions 28 to 417 of the family's 1533-position model. The record is from RNAcentral.
GACGAACGCUGGCGGCGUGCUUAACACAUGCAAGUCGAGCGGUAAGGCCCUUUCGGGGGUACACGAGCGGCGAACGGGUGAGUAACACGUGGGUGACCUGCCCUCAGCUCUGGGAUAAGCCUGGGAAACCGGGUCUAAUACUGGAUAUGACUCCAUGACGCAUGUUGUGGGGUGGAAAGCCUUGUGCGGCUGAGGAUGGGCCCGCGGCCUAUCAGCUUGUUGGUGGGGUGANGGCCUACCAAGGCGACGACGGGUAGCCGGCCUGAGAGGGCGACCAGCCACACUGGGACUGAGACACGGCCCAGACUCCUACGGGAGGCAGCAGUGGGGAAUCUUGCGCAAUGGGCGAAAGCCUGACGCAGCGACGCCGCGUGAGGGAUGACGGCCU